RNAcentral lists this ribosomal RNA (711 nucleotides) under Triticum aestivum (bread wheat). RNAcentral's name for it is "partial small subunit ribosomal RNA". The record is from RNAcentral. Lineage: Eukaryota; Viridiplantae; Streptophyta; Magnoliopsida; Poales; Poaceae.
AUGUUGGGGGUGUUCAGCGGCGAGGUGGUGGAGGUGCCGGCGGAGCUGGUGGCGGCCGGGAGCCGGACGCCGUCGCCCAAGACGCGGGCGUCGGAGCUGGUGAAGCGCUUCCUCGCCGGCGCCGAGCCCGCCGUGUCCGUGGAGCUGGGAUCGCUGGGCAACCUCGCCUACUCCCACGCCAACCAGUCCCUCCUCCUCCCAAGGUCUUUCGCUGCAAAGGAUGAGAUCUUCUGCCUGUUCGAGGGAGUCCUGGACAACUUGGGGCGGCUGAGCCAGCAGUACGGCCUCUCCAAGGGCGGCAACGAGGUGCUCCUCGUGAUCGAGGCCUACAAGACGCUGAGGGACAGGGCCCCCUACCCCGCCAGCUUCAUGCUCUCCCAGCUCACCGGCAGCUACGCCUUCGUGCUCUUCGACAAGUCCACCUCCUCCCUCCUCGUCGCAUCCGACCCGGAGGGCAAGGUGCCGCUCUUCUGGGGAAUCACGGCCGACGGCUGCGUCGCCUUCUCCGACGACAUCGACCUGCUGAAAGGAUCUUGCGGCAAGUCACUGGCGCCUUUCCCGCAAGGUUGCUUCUACUGGAACGCUCUUGGAGGCCUCAAGUCGUACGAGAAUCCCAAGAACAAGGUCACCGCUGUGCCUGCAGAUGAGGAGGAAAUAUGUGGUGCAACCUUCAUGGUGGAAGGAUCUACCGUUGUCGCGGCACUUCAGUAG